Molecule: long non-coding RNA, 260 nt
Filed under: Mytilus galloprovincialis (Mediterranean mussel)
Lineage: Eukaryota; Metazoa; Mollusca; Bivalvia; Mytilida; Mytilidae
Source: RNAcentral
AACCAAUAGUCCAUUUGCCAAUUACCGAUUUGAUUCUGUUAUUACACAUUUUUUAAACAAAUUACUUCCCUUUGUCAAUAGUAGACUGGUUCCAUACCGGACAAAAUUGGCCUUUGCCAAUGCAAAGCAUGAUGAAUUGAAAGUGAUGUAUCUGCGGUUUAACUAAUUUUUCAUGAAAAACAAUUUCUGAUGUCGAAAGUAUUUAGCUUAACAACAUAUUAUUGUAAUUACAAGAUUUCAAAACCUUAUAGAUUACUUAC